This 1312-nucleotide long non-coding RNA is filed under the name Fukomys damarensis (Damara mole-rat). RNAcentral describes it as "lncRNA (ENSFDAG00000029960.1)". Lineage: Eukaryota; Metazoa; Chordata; Mammalia; Rodentia; Bathyergidae. The record is from RNAcentral.
GCAAAAGUCACUGGAUUGACUCUCAGAAAAAAACUGCUGUAUGUAGUUAUGCCUCACCUUGUUAAAAAAACGAAUUCAAGUGGCUUCUAUUUUGACUGUGUUUCAGGCAAGAGAAAAAGAAUGAACAGGGGCUCUCUGAGCUCCAGUGGGUCUAGAAACUUUUUCCACUGCAUACUUCUAUCGGGAGUGCUCCAAGGGAAGCCUGCUCCAGCUUCGGAGAAACACCACCACCAUUUCCGCAGGAGCAAAAUGGAACUGGGGAGGAAGAGCCCGAGGGACAUUUCACAGCUCUCAGGGAAAAGAGAUCGUCUCCAAUCUCCUGCCACCUCCAGCUUUACAAUCUCUUCCAACUUCCCAGAUGAUUUCUACAUGCAACAAAGGCUGAGAAGCAAUGGUUUAAAGCCCGCCUCCCUGGGAUGCUCUAAACCUCCAGAGUGAAAGAAAGGCUUUGGCUCUGUUGUUUAUGGCUGUGUUCCCAGUGCUCACCCCAGUGCUUAGCAUUAAACAUAUUUGUUGGAUGAACGCAUAAAAAACACUGUGCAGCGUUUCUUUGCUGUUUCACUGUGUCCUUGAUUCAGCAGCCAGGUAAAAGGAAAAGCUUCCUGCAGGCCCUGCCCCAAGUUCCCAGCAGGAUGACACCGUUCCCUAGCAAAAGCAGCAGCUGCUUGCAGCACAGGACCCCAAUCCAAGCUGAUGACAGGCAGGCCCUGAGUCUGUGUGCCAGUGUGGGUCCUUGCCUUGCAACCUGUAAGGAGCAGACAGCUCCCUACCGCAAGAGCCAGACUGGAGUGCCCAGUGAAGUAGAAGGGAAAGCACAUUGCUAGGAUGAGAGGGACAAGAGUUACACAAAGGUAGGGAUGACAAUAAUAAGGAAGUACAAUGGUUUAAUUUGGUUCUUGGAGGAUAAUCAAGUUGUUGUACCUCGUGUUGCUUAUUCCCAUAGCUGUCCAGCAAGUAAUGAAUGCAGCACCUACCAGUAUGGAAAUAAGGACAAGGAGUGACUUUGAUUUCUUAUUUGUUAUUUUUAACCAUCCAAUUUCCACACCCACUGAGCAUCCUUAUAGCCACAGGAGGGUCAUAAAAAUACAAAUAACACCUAGGAGGCCUCUGGGCACGGACUUGUUACUUCUGCAGGGCUGCUGAUUCUCUUUUAACUAGGGUAAAAUCAGGCCAACAAUAAAUUGCCAUUUUUUUUUCUUGUCAUUUCUAGCACAAUUUCAGAAAAUGCAAGGAAAUCACUAAAUGCUUUUUUUUUUAAAAAAUAGAUUUUUAGCAGGGUGAGGCAAAGAAUCUGCCCAAGGACUGAAAUUCU